RNAcentral lists this ribosomal RNA (549 nucleotides) under uncultured Leptospirillum sp. Its description in RNAcentral is "bacterial SSU rRNA". It matches the Rfam family "Bacterial small subunit ribosomal RNA", at positions 337 to 879 of the family's 1533-position model. The record is from RNAcentral. Lineage: Bacteria; Pseudomonadati; Nitrospirota; Nitrospiria; Nitrospirales; Nitrospiraceae.
UCCUACGGGAGGCAGCAGUGAGGAAUAUUGCGCAAUGGGGGCAACCCUGACGCAGCAACGCCGCGUGUGGGAAGAAGGCUUUCGGGUUGUAAACCACUUUUGCCCGGGACGAAAGGGGGGACCUGAAUAAGGUUGCCCGAUGACGGUACCGGGAGAAUAAGCCACGGCUAACUCUGUGCCAGCAGCCGCGGUAAGACAGAGGUGGCAAGCGUUGUUCGGAGUUACUGGGCGUAAAGAGUCUGUAGGUGGUCUGUCAAGUCUUUGGUGAAAGGCCGUGGCUUAACCAUGGGAAUGCCAAAGAGACUGGCAGACUGGAGGCUGGGAGAGGGAAGCGGAAUUUCUGGUGUACCGGUGAAAUGCGUAGAUAUCAGAAGGAAGCCCGGUGGCGAAGGCGGCUUCCUGGAACAGCCCUGACACUGAGAGACGAAAGCGUGGGGAGCAAACAGGAUUAGAUACCCUGGUAGUCCACGCCUUAAACGAUGGGUAUUAAGUGUGGGAGGGUUAAACCUCCCGUGCCGCAGCCAACGCAGUAAGUACCCCGCCUGGGGA